UUAGGAGUGUGUGUGUGUUUGCUGCGUGAAAAUCGCGCGUGGAAGGUAACGAGGUGCCUCGAACCAAGUGGCUGUGGAUAACUGAACUGAAAGAGGUUAUAGGCAAAAGCCCAUAGACAGACAAGUUGGAAUCCUACAACCACACGGCAGAGGCUGCACAUUGCAGAACGUGAACUCAACAUCACUGAACGUGUACAGCUGAAUGUUGCUCGAAGUGACUUUGAAAAGUUUAAAGAAGUGAACAAGAAAAGUGAACAAAGUGGCAUCACCGUGAAGUGCAUGGACGGAAGGAACUGCGGAAAUUAUAUUGAUUUUUUCAUUUAUUUUCCAUGUAUGUUUUAAGUCUCGAAAAUAAAUGGUUAAUGGUU
Molecule: long non-coding RNA, 368 nt
Organism: Penaeus monodon (black tiger shrimp)
Lineage: Eukaryota; Metazoa; Arthropoda; Malacostraca; Decapoda; Penaeidae
Exons: 2
Source: RefSeq, a predicted model, not a curated record